Molecule: transfer RNA, 64 nt
Filed under: Dipodomys ordii (Ord's kangaroo rat)
Lineage: Eukaryota; Metazoa; Chordata; Mammalia; Rodentia; Heteromyidae
Rfam family: tRNA
About the family: Transfer RNA (tRNA) molecules are approximately 80 nucleotides in length. Their secondary structure includes four short double-helical elements and three loops (D, anti-codon, and T loops).
Source: Rfam by way of RNAcentral
GGUGGCUCAGUGGUAGAGUGCUUGCCUUGCAUGCAUGAGGCCUGAGUUCAAUUCCUCAGUACUA